GAUCAUGGCUCAGGAUGAACGCUAGCGACAGGCUUAACACAUGCAAGUCGAGGGGCAUCACGGGAGUAGCAAUACAACUGGUGGCGACCGGCGCACGGGUGAGUAACGCGUAUGCAACCUACCUAUCAGAGGGAAUAACCCGGCGAAAGUCGGACUAAUACCGCAUAAAACAGGGGCACCGCAUGGUGAUAUUUGUUAAAGAAAUUCGCUGAUAGAUGGGCAUGCGUUCCAUUAGGUAGUUGGUGAGGUAACGGCUCACCAAGCCGACGAUGGAUAGGGGAACUGAGAGGUUGGUCCCCCACACUGGUACUGAGACACGGACCAGACUCCUACGGGAGGCAGCAGUGAGGAAUAUUGGCCAAUGGGCGGGAGCCUGAACCAGCCAAGUCGCGUGAAGGAAAGAAGGAUCUAUGGUUCGUAAACUUCUUUUGCAGGGGAAUAAAGUGCAGGACGUGUCCUGUUUUGUAUGUACCCUGAGAAUAAGGAUCGGCUAACUCCGUGCCAGCAGCAGC
RNAcentral lists this ribosomal RNA (512 nucleotides) under uncultured bacterium. RNAcentral's name for it is "bacterial SSU rRNA". It matches the Rfam family "Bacterial small subunit ribosomal RNA", at positions 15 to 518 of the family's 1533-position model. The record is from RNAcentral.